RNAcentral lists this ribosomal RNA (253 nucleotides) under uncultured bacterium. RNAcentral's name for it is "partial 16S ribosomal RNA". It matches the Rfam family "Bacterial small subunit ribosomal RNA", at positions 524 to 776 of the family's 1533-position model. The record is from RNAcentral.
UACGGAGGGUGCAAGCGUUAUCCGGAUUUACUGGGUUUAAAGGGUGCGUAGGUGGGUCUGUAAGUCAGUGGUGAAAUCUCCGAGCUUAACUCGGAAACUGCCUUUGAUACUAUCUAUCUUGAAUAUCCUGGAGGUGAGCGGAAUAUGUCAUGUAGCGGUGAAAUGCUUAGAUAUGACAUAGAACACCGAUUGCGAAGGCAGCGCACUACGGGGUCAUUGACACUGAGGCACGAAAGCGUGGGGAUCAAACAGG